UACGAAGGGUGCAAGCGUUAAUCGGAAUUACUGGGCGUAAAGCGCGCGUAGGUGGUUUGAUAAGUUGGAUGUGAAAGCCCCCGGGCGUCAACCUAGGGAAGUUAGUCAUCCAAAACUAGUCUGACUAGAGUAUGGCAGAGGGUGGUGGAAUUUCCUUGUGUAGCGGUGAAAUGCGUAGAUAUAGGAAGGGAACACCAGUGGCGAAGGCGACCACCUGGGCGUAAUACUGACACUGAGGUGCGAAAGACGUGGGGGAGGCAAACAGGAUUAGAUACCCGGGUAGU
This 284-nucleotide ribosomal RNA is filed under the name uncultured bacterium. RNAcentral's name for it is "partial 16S ribosomal RNA". It matches the Rfam family "Bacterial small subunit ribosomal RNA", at positions 524 to 794 of the family's 1533-position model. The record is from RNAcentral.